GUGUGUAGUGGGAAAAGGAGUAAUACACACAUUGAGGUGAUCAGUGAGGUGUGUAGUGGGAAAAGGGGUAAUACACACAUUGAGGUGAUCAGUGAGGUGUGUAGUGGGAAAAGGGGUAAUACACACAUUGAGGUGAUCAGUGAGGUGUGUAGUGGGAUAGAGAGAGGAGCUGUGACAUGGUAAAUACCUUCUGGAAAACUGAGAGACUCUAAAGGUUCCGUUCUGCAAGGCUCAGGACAGGUAGUGAUGGAGGGGGAACAGUCAGACCAGGGCUUGAACCGGAGACCCUGGGUUACAGGGCAGGCAUUCUGCCAUAAAGGUCCAGACCUCUUGGCAGAGGGCGUAGUGUGCUCACAUACAAGGAGACAACCCAACAUAGACCAGGGGCUGAUACAGUGGAUUGAUUCAUCAGUGUCAAACCAAACGUGUGGCUUAGUUAGAAAUGGACUCUUUGGUUCAUUUUCCAAAUACAGGUGUCCUAUGUAUGCACACACACACACAUUCAUCAACAUACACACACAGGCACACACACACACAUUCAUCAACAUACACACACACAGGCACACACACACACAUUCAUCAACAUACACACACACAGGCACACACACACACAUUCAUCAACAUACACACACACAGGCACACGCACACAUUCAUCAACAUACACACACACACACAGGCACACACACACACA
This 691-nucleotide long non-coding RNA is filed under the name Salmo salar (Atlantic salmon). Its description in RNAcentral is "lncRNA (ENSSSAG00000086247.1)". Lineage: Eukaryota; Metazoa; Chordata; Actinopteri; Salmoniformes; Salmonidae. The record is from RNAcentral.